CUCCCUCUAGUGAAAGUUCUUUAAUGGUUUGUCUGAGGUGUUCAGUCAGUUUUUCUCUUGUGGGGUUGGCCUUAUGUUGGAGCUUUGCCUUCCUUAGGGCUGUCUGUAAUUCCAACAACUGGGUAGUUGUUUAUCUUUUUUUGUGUGUGGCUGCUUUGAUGAGGUGCCCCUUGAUAACCGUCUUAUUUGCCGCUCAGAUGGUUGUGGAAUUUACGUUGGG
This is a non-coding RNA of Pelobates cultripes (western spadefoot toad), 220 nucleotides long. The record is from the annotation of a GenBank genome assembly. NCBI's taxonomy places the organism in Eukaryota, Metazoa, Chordata, Amphibia, Anura, Pelobatidae.